GCACGGGCGAGAGCUUCCGCACCGUCCUGGUUAACGCAGACGGCGAGCGCACUGGCCGGGUUUCUCAGACCGUAGACUUUAUUUGGGGGAGUUUUCCCUCAGUUCAGUUCCUGACUGUGCAGGGCCAACAGGGCAGGGGAGGGGAAGACCCGGGGAAGGAAGAAUGACAGUCCCGUCGUAAGACCUGUCACAACGAUAAGCAGGGAGGGGAGAUGUGGAGGGGACACAUCUGAUUGCCUCUGAGGCAGAGGCUGUGAGUUUCAGAACAGCUGUCUGCAGGGAACACCACCAUGCUGACCCUCUGGAGGAGAGCGCUGUGGAGCCCCUCCCGUGUUCCAGCUCCGUCUGCCCUGCGCCUAUAUAUACACAUGCGUCUAUCCAUACUGCAGCUUUUAUCUGUGAUUUCCUCGCUGAAACCAUGUUUCUCAGACAGGCCAAGGCCACCUGACUCCUAUCACGACGCACCCAAGCCCCUCAGUCCAGCUUCCCAACGCCUGGUACCCCCCUUUGGCAAUAGCUCACCGUUUACACCCUCCCUCAUAGAUACACAGAAGUUAUUUUUUUAAUGGAUAUUUAUUUUUUUACAUUGGUCAGUACGCAGGUCAGGAGCUCACGCCAGGGCCUUGAGGACAGGCUGACCCUCCUCCCCGGGGUGGGGCGGGGCUGGGGCACCCUCCGACGGCAGAGCCUCCUUCAGAAAGUGCAGCUCAAGUCUUAAAGACACCAAAACUGAGCCAUGGGCACGCGCUGUCUCCGGGCCACGGCGUUCACUGCAGGGCGGGGGCGGCACCGUUCCCCUGUGACUGUGCACCCCGCCUCCCUGGGGACCUGCCUGUGGGAGGAAGGAAUGGGGGGCCCCAGCCCCAGGUCGGGAAGGAGCCAGCG
This 885-nucleotide small RNA is filed under the name Pongo abelii (Sumatran orangutan). RNAcentral describes it as "processed transcript". The record is from RNAcentral. Lineage: Eukaryota; Metazoa; Chordata; Mammalia; Primates; Hominidae.